GUGCUGCCGGACCUACUGCUGACCCCUCGGACGGGGAUGGUGGCGCCAUGAGGAGGGAGGAGAGCCGUGAUCCAAACAGGGCAGUCAUGGCCUGAAGACACAAGGUCACUGUCAUGCUGUAAAACCCAUCCGUGACCCAUCUUCAAGGAGGUUUGGACAGCGCAAGCCUCCGAGUCCGCCUCCAAGCUGGAUUGUGAGGAUGGAGUUCUUCGGCAUGCAUUUUCUCAUCCUCCAAACACCGCAGGCGUGGUUGAUGCCAAAUGCAUCACUUGGGUUUCAUCUGACCACAGCAACAGUCUUCAAGUCAUUUAGAUGUUUGUUGGCAAACUUAAGUGGGCCCAAGGUGGCGCCUUAAGUCUAUUAAGGCGCCACAGUACUUGCAGUUUUCUUAGUUAAGGAGGUCCCACUUGCCUUCAGAUGCUAUUUCAGCGUGCUUGCUUCUCGUCUCUCCGCGAGGCAAAAUUUUGUUUAUCAUAUAUUCUUUCUUAUGCUCCCCCGCUCCCGGGAA
Hippocampus comes (tiger tail seahorse) is the source of this 508-nucleotide long non-coding RNA. RefSeq lists it as uncharacterized. Lineage: Eukaryota; Metazoa; Chordata; Actinopteri; Syngnathiformes; Syngnathidae. The record is from RefSeq and is a predicted model, not a curated record. The transcript has 2 exons.